GCAGUUCCCGUCUCAUCGUUUAGUUCUAUUUUACCUUCAACUACCAUAUCAAAAUCUAGUAUUAAAAUUGAAUGGAAGUUUACUGAUGAUGAAUCAGAUAUAGAAAGACAAUACAUUUCUAUUUCACCUCAUUUAUUGGGAGAUUUUAAUUCUUCAGCUAUGGAGAUUCCUAGUGUGGUAACAGAGUUUACAUUUUCUGGUCUACCUCUACACGAUGGGAGUAAAUAUAAAGUUAAAGUGAUUGGUUGUAAUUUAGCUGGUUUGUGUCUGUCGAGUGUUACAGAUGAUAUAACAGUUGAUUCUACACCACCUACCAGAGGUAUGUUUGCCAUUGAUACUGACCACGCCGCUAACUUAAACAGAGAUAGGAAUAACUGGAACCACUGGUCUACUACGUCUAUUAAGUUAGCAUGGUUGGGAUUUGCCGAUCUACAUACUGGUAUAACCGAGUAUAAAGUCAGUGUUGGAAGCAAACCUUU
Molecule: long non-coding RNA, 479 nt
Organism: Patella vulgata (common limpet)
Lineage: Eukaryota; Metazoa; Mollusca; Gastropoda; Patellidae
Exons: 3
Source: RefSeq, a predicted model, not a curated record